Molecule: ribosomal RNA, 253 nt
Filed under: uncultured bacterium
Lineage: Bacteria
Description: partial 16S ribosomal RNA
Rfam family: Bacterial small subunit ribosomal RNA
Source: RNAcentral
UACGUAGGGGGCAAGCGUUGUCCGGAAUCAUUGGGCGUAAAGGGCGUGUAGGCGGCUCAGUAAGUCCGCUCUGAAAGCCCGGGGCUUAACCCCGGGAGGCGGGUGGAUACUGCUGAGCUUGAGUCCGGAAGAGGCGAGUGGAAUUCCCGGUGUAGCGGUGAAAUGCGCAGAUAUCGGGAGGAACACCAAUGGCGAAGGCAGCUCGCUGGGACGUGACUGACGCUGAGACGCGAAAGCGUGGGGAGCGAACAGG